This 492-nucleotide ribosomal RNA is filed under the name uncultured bacterium. RNAcentral describes it as "partial 16S ribosomal RNA". It matches the Rfam family "Bacterial small subunit ribosomal RNA", at positions 29 to 507 of the family's 1533-position model. The record is from RNAcentral.
AGUGAACGCUGGCGGUAGGCCUAACACAUGCAAGUCGAACGGCAGCACAGUAAGAGCUUGCUCUUACGGGUGGCGAGUGGCGGACGGGUGAGGAAUACAUCGGAAUCUACUUUUUCGUGGGGGAUAACGUAGGGAAACUUACGCUAAUACCGCAUACGACCUACGGGUGAAAGCAGGGGAUCUUCGGAACUUGCGCGACUGAAUGAGCCGAUGUCGGACUAGCUAGUUGGCGGGGUAAAGGCCCACCAAGGUGACGAUCCGUAGCUGGUCUGAGAGGAUGAUCAGCCACACUGGAACUGAGACACGGUCCAGACUCCUACGGGAGGCAGCAGUGGGGAAUAUUGGACAAUGGGCGCAAGCCUGAUCCAGCCAUACCGCGUGGGUGAAGAAGGCCUUCGGGUUGUAAAGCCCUUUUGUUGGGAAAGAAAAGCAGCAGGUUAAUACCCCGCUGUUCUGACGGUACCCAAAGAAUAAGCACCGGCUAACUUCGUG